AACAGAAAACAGAGUUAUUGUAACUAGAUUGCCAGAGAGCAGAAAAUUUACCAGGGAGAAGGCCUGGAAGUUAUACCAGAUCAACUCAAAAUUACAGUUUUUCAGAGCUUAUAUACCUUCUAAGCUAUACGUCUACGUGUAGUUGUGCGUUCAUCUAAAGACGCUGUGAAGUCAAAAGGAAAAUGUAAGAGGCUGCCGAGUUCUCAGAGUGGGAUGAAUAGAAUCAUUCAUGUUCAUCUGGAGAGAAACAAGUUUUCCUGUGACUGAAUAUU
Molecule: long non-coding RNA, 272 nt
Filed under: Homo sapiens (human)
Lineage: Eukaryota; Metazoa; Chordata; Mammalia; Primates; Hominidae
Description: HSALNT0341878
Source: RNAcentral